GCAAGUCGAGCGCGCCCUUCGGGGUGAGCGGCGGACGGGUGAGUAACGCGUGGGAAUGUACCCAGAUCUACGGAAUAGCCUCGGGAAACUGAGAGUAAUACCGUAUACGCCCUUCGGGGGAAAGAUUUAUCGGAUUUGGAUCAGCCCGCGUUAGAUUAGGUAGUUGGUGGGGUAAUGGCCUACCAAGCCUACGAUCUAUAGCUGGUUUGAGAGGAUGAUC
Molecule: ribosomal RNA, 220 nt
Filed under: uncultured bacterium
Lineage: Bacteria
Description: partial 16S ribosomal RNA
Rfam family: Bacterial small subunit ribosomal RNA
Source: RNAcentral